UCUUCCUGUGCUCCUGCCCUCUACCUCCUCCUGUCUACAAGCAAUCUAGAGAACAGAAAAAUGAACCUUCCCUCUAAAACUUUUCCCUUCUCAGACUUUUUUCAUUUCAUCAUAGUCCGGAUCCGUGCUCCCCAAUGCCGGUGAUAUUUACAUUUUCUCCAGCAAUGCAGAUGGUUGCCUUCUUGCUGCAGUCUUCAAAUGGCCAUCCUUCUGAGCACUGACAUGGGAAGGGAAAAGGACAGAAAAAAUAAAGCCAGAGAUACAUCUUCCUGUGACCAGGAUUCAUCAUGGAAUUCCCACCAAAUCCUGGGCAGCUCAGAAGGCAGUAUAAAGACAGCAUGAGGAUCCCAAAUGUGCACAUAACAGGCUCCAAAUGAUGAAAGCCCUUGAGUGGAACUUGAGGGAAAA
Canis lupus familiaris (dog) is the source of this 408-nucleotide long non-coding RNA. RefSeq lists it as uncharacterized. The transcript is spliced from 3 exons. NCBI's taxonomy places the organism in Eukaryota, Metazoa, Chordata, Mammalia, Carnivora, Canidae. The record is from RefSeq and is a predicted model, not a curated record.